This 459-nucleotide ribosomal RNA is filed under the name uncultured bacterium. RNAcentral describes it as "partial 16S ribosomal RNA". It matches the Rfam family "Bacterial small subunit ribosomal RNA", at positions 338 to 795 of the family's 1533-position model. The record is from RNAcentral.
CCUACGGGAGACAGCAGUGAGGAAUAUUGGUCAAUGGCCGGAAGGCUGAACCAGCCAAGCCGCGUGAAGGACGAAGGUGCCAAGCAUUGUAAACUUCUUUUGUCAAGGGACAAAAUCAGGCUCGAGAGCCUGACCGAGGGUACUUGAAGAAAAAGCAUCGGCUAACUCCGUGCCAGCAGCCUCGGUAAUACGGAGGAUGCGAGCGUUAUCCGGAUUUCUUGGGUUUAACGGGUGCGUCGGCGGACUGUUAAGUCAGCGGUAAAAGGCCGGGGCUCAACCCCGGAGAGCCGUUGAAACUGGCUGUCUUGAGAUGUCGAGAGGUAUGCGGAAUGCGCAGUGUAGCGGUGAAAUGCUUAGAUAUGGCGCAGAACUCCGAUUGCGAAGGCAGCAUACCGGCGGCGAUCUGACGCUGAGGCACGAAAGCGUGGGUAUCGAACAGGAUUAGAUACCCUUGUAGUC